Molecule: non-coding RNA, 837 nt
Organism: Rattus norvegicus (Norway rat)
Lineage: Eukaryota; Metazoa; Chordata; Mammalia; Rodentia; Muridae
Source: RefSeq, a predicted model, not a curated record
CUUUGACUCACGAGCCUCGCUCGACCACUUCCCCUGUGCCGCAGAACGUGGUGCUCCUGGGAGACACGUUCCCACAUGCUCUUCUUCCAAAUGGAAUUAUAAUCACAGAGGGAGGAAAAGGCUCCGUUACUUGGUUCUAACGUUUCCCUGGAGAAUUCAGUUUAGAACUCCCUGUGCGUCGAGAGAAGACACUUCCCUGACCCUUACAAGUUGCUCCAGGCUGGUAACCUCUUCAAAGCCCCGGGUAACAGGGGACCCUGCAUCACCGGGUGGGGAGGUCUUAAAGGUUAACCUGGUACAUUAGAGCCAACCAGAAGACAGCACAGGAAGCUCAGAGUUGUGAAGGGCUAAUCCUGGUGACACUGCCCAGAGCCUGGGGUAGCUCGGUGGUACUUCGCUCCACACAAUCCUGGACUCAACAGGGUGAGGAAAACAUCAGGUAUGCUGGUUCUGUGUCGGAACACGUUCCUGCCUUCUUCCGUCCCUGCCUGCCUUCUCAGGAAUAUGCAUGCUGGAAUCAGACGACCUCACCUAAGCACUGAAACAAUCUUCGCCAUUGAUGUCAUCUUGAGCAAGAUGCCUGAGUGACUCUCGGAACCUGGCUUUCCUCACUGGUGAAACAACAAAAGCCCACACCAUGGACGAGACCCUCUCCUGCCUAACAGUGACCAGGCAGCUAGGAGCUGUGGGGGAACUCGAUGAGCCUGCCUGGAGCAGCAUUCCUUGUGGCUAAGUCUGGCCAGGACUGCAGCCUCUGGCCAGUGAGGUGUAAUCUAAGUGCAGUGCAGGGUUGCUAAGAAUGUGGAUAAAGGAGACAUUACCAAGGUGGCACUUUAA